AACGAACGCUGGCGGCAGGCCUAACACAUGCAAGUCGAGCGAGGACUUCGGUCCUAGCGGCGGACGGGUGAGUAACGCGUGGGAACGUGCCCUUUGCUUCGGAAUAGCCCUGGGAAACUGGGAGUAAUACCGGAUGAGCCCUUUGGGGGAAAGAUUUAUCGGCGAAGGAUCGGCCCGCGUUGGAUUAGGUAGUUGGUGGGGUAAUGGCCUACCAAGCCGACGAUCCAUAGCUGGUUUGAGAGGAUGAUCAGCCACACUGGGACUGAGACAUGGCCCAGACUCCUACGGGAGGCAGCAGUGGGGAAUCUUAGACAAUGGGGGAAACCCUGAUCUAGCCAUGCCGCGUGAGCGAUGAAGGCCUUAGGGUUGUAAAGCUCUUUCAGCUGGGAAGAUAAUGACGGUACCAGCAGAAGAAGCCCCGGCUAACUCCGUG
This 433-nucleotide ribosomal RNA is filed under the name uncultured bacterium. RNAcentral's name for it is "partial 16S ribosomal RNA". It matches the Rfam family "Bacterial small subunit ribosomal RNA", at positions 29 to 507 of the family's 1533-position model. The record is from RNAcentral.